This is a non-coding RNA of Caenorhabditis elegans, 145 nucleotides long. NCBI's taxonomy places the organism in Eukaryota, Metazoa, Nematoda, Chromadorea, Rhabditida, Rhabditidae. The record is from Ensembl.
GGCGCGUGCUCCUACCAGUUGGCAUGGCACCCGCCUUUUUCGAGAGUGUGUCUGUUUGCAAUCUCUUUUCUCUAUCACACAACAGAAAACGAAAAGGAAAGAAAAAGAAAAAGACAAUCUUAAUUUCGAACGAGUGUUUGAGUGG